GUACACGCUGUGACUAGCAUAUCAAUAAGCGGAGGAAAAGAAACUAACAAGGAUUCCCCUAGUAACGGCGAGUGAAGCGGGAAGAGCUCAAAUUUGAAAUCUUAAAGGGUUUCCCUUUACGAAUUGUAGUUUAAAGAAGUGUUUUCUGUUGAGGUUUUGGUAAAAGUUCUUUGGAAUAGGACAUCAUAGAGGGCGAGAAUCCCGUAUUUGACCUUUACUUUCAACUUUGUGAUACACUUUCAAAGAGUCGGAUUGUUUGGGAAUGCAGUCCAAAAUGGGUGGUAAAUUUCAUCUAAAGCUAAAUAUUGGCGAGAGACCGAUAGCGAACAAGUACCGUGAGGGAAAGAUGAAAAGAACUUUGAAAAGAGAGUUAAACAGUACGUGAAAUUGUCAAAAGGGAAGCGUUUGACACCAGUGUUGUUUUUCUGAAAAUCAAUUAAAGAACUGUUUAUGCUAAGUUGUUUAGACUUUAUCAGCUAACUGUUUAGUUUUGAGCUUUUCUUUAAUGCACUUUUCAGUUAACAAGUCAACAUCAAUUUCUUUUGCUGUAAAAAAGCUUGAGGAAGGUGGCUUGAGAUUCGUCUUAAGUGUUUAUAGCCUCUUGCCUAUGCAGUCGGAGAGAUUGAGGUCUGCAGCGUAGAUCCUUCGGGGCUAAAUGCAUUUGUGCUAAGUUAUAGCAUUUUAUAGACAACUUGUUGACUAUGAUUUGUCUUGUAGCUUACUCGCUUAUGUUAUUUUACCUACGCUUAGGAUGUUGACUGAUAUGUAGUCGUA
This 774-nucleotide ribosomal RNA is filed under the name uncultured Neocallimastigales. RNAcentral's name for it is "partial large subunit ribosomal RNA". It matches the Rfam family "Eukaryotic large subunit ribosomal RNA", at positions 22 to 644 of the family's 3401-position model. Lineage: Eukaryota; Fungi; Neocallimastigomycota; Neocallimastigomycetes; Neocallimastigales. The record is from RNAcentral.